AAGGAUUUAAGUUAACAAAACUAAUAGCCUUCAAAGCUGCAAAUAAAGAAAGCCCGCUUUAAGCCUUA
RNAcentral lists this transfer RNA (68 nucleotides) under Manticora tibialis. Its description in RNAcentral is "tRNA-Trp". Lineage: Eukaryota; Metazoa; Arthropoda; Insecta; Coleoptera; Carabidae. The record is from RNAcentral.